GCGGGUAUAGUUCAAUGGUAGAACUCCAGCCUUCCAAGCUGAUCAUGCGGGUUCGAUUCCCGCUACCCGCUCCA
This 74-nucleotide transfer RNA is filed under the name Pseudomonadales bacterium. Its description in RNAcentral is "tRNA-Gly". It matches the Rfam family "tRNA". From Rfam's summary of the family: Transfer RNA (tRNA) molecules are approximately 80 nucleotides in length. Their secondary structure includes four short double-helical elements and three loops (D, anti-codon, and T loops). The record is from RNAcentral. RNAcentral also lists the same sequence under 5 other names. Lineage: Bacteria; Pseudomonadati; Pseudomonadota; Gammaproteobacteria; Pseudomonadales.